This is a long non-coding RNA of Aedes aegypti (yellow fever mosquito), 853 nucleotides long. RefSeq lists it as uncharacterized. The record is from RefSeq and is a predicted model, not a curated record. NCBI's taxonomy places the organism in Eukaryota, Metazoa, Arthropoda, Insecta, Diptera, Culicidae. The transcript is spliced from 2 exons.
UUUAAAAUAAUAAUUUAAACUAUAUUGUAAAAGUAUAUAUGCGAAGUGGAUUGAAUUAAAUUAUUUGUUCCAGUGUUCGAAAUCCGAGACACACGGAAAAUGAAAGUAUUGAAGAACCUUAUUUCAGUGUGUAUGAAAAGCGCCGGCUAACUUGACGCGCAUUGAAUGUACGAAUGAGGACAGAAGGAAAAAGGAAAACGCAAAAAUGAAACGCUAUUCUGACCGGAAGAGAACAGUGAAAAAUUGGUGGGAAGAAAAGGAGGGAACAAACGGCAUUCUGUAGACGAUCGUUGUAGAAGGCAGUCGUAACGACUGAAGUGUCCGCGAUUGUAAUUUGAAAUUUAAAUUGUUUCCAAGUGAAAAUACGACACCAUGCACGGUUGUUUGCAAAUACCCUUUAAUGGGUAAAAUAAUACUUAUUUUGGAAUAGCAUCAAUAUCUGUCAGAAAGCGGGUAAAUUCAGAAAUGUAAAAAGGGUAAAUAAAUACCCAUUACAGUAAAGCAACUGUAGUUUAAAAAUGGGUGUUUAAAAACCCAUUUAUGGGUGAAAAAUAGUUGGGAAUCAUUUAUAGUAAUUUGAAGCAGCUGUGCGACGCAGUCUACGCAUGCAAAAUUAAUGAAAUUGUAGUUAAUUGUUUGUAGGUUUUACUUUUUUUAUACAACGUUUACCGAUGAAAGGAAACAAUGAAGUGGUUGUCUCGUUGUUCCUGCCACCGUGCCUGUAGCUGACAUGAUCUACUACCAGCGACCAUCGAAAGGAAGUAACUGUUGGUGCAGAAACAGUAUAAAUAUCUUUAUACAUUUAUCAAGCGUAUAAAACGAUUAAUUGUAAUAAUAAAAACUAUUAUUUUAA